ACGAGUGGCGGACGGGUGAGUAAUGUCUGGGAAACUGCCUGAUGGAGGGGGAUAACUACUGGAAACGGUAGCUAAUACCGCAUAACGUCUACGGACCAAAGUGGGGGACCUUCGGGCCUCAUGCCAUCAGAUGUGCCCAGAUGGGAUUAGCUAGUAGGUGGGGUAACGGCUCACCUAGGCGACGAUCCCUAGCUGGUCUGAGAGGAUGACCAGCCACACUGGAACUGAGACACGGUCCAGACUCCUACGGGAGGCAGCAGUGGGGAAUAUUGCACAAUGGGCGCAAGCCUGAUGCAGCCAUGCCGCGUGUAUGAAGAAGGCCUUCGGGUUGUAAAG
This 336-nucleotide ribosomal RNA is filed under the name Cronobacter sakazakii. RNAcentral describes it as "bacterial SSU rRNA". It matches the Rfam family "Bacterial small subunit ribosomal RNA", at positions 91 to 430 of the family's 1533-position model. The record is from RNAcentral. Lineage: Bacteria; Pseudomonadati; Pseudomonadota; Gammaproteobacteria; Enterobacterales; Enterobacteriaceae.